This 887-nucleotide ribosomal RNA is filed under the name Staphylococcus sp. A4.13. RNAcentral's name for it is "bacterial SSU rRNA". It matches the Rfam family "Bacterial small subunit ribosomal RNA", at positions 43 to 911 of the family's 1533-position model. The record is from RNAcentral. Lineage: Bacteria; Bacillati; Bacillota; Bacilli; Caryophanales; Staphylococcaceae.
CGCCUCCUAAUACAUGCAAGUCGAGCGAACAGACGAGGAGCUUGCUCCUCUGACGUUAGCGGCGGAGGGAGAGUAACACGUGGAUAACCUACCUAUAAGACUGGGAUAACUUCGGGAAACCGGAGCUAAUACCGGAUAAUAUAUUGAACCGCAUGGUUCAAUAGUGAAAGACGGUUUUGCUGUCACUUAUAGAUGGAUCCGCGCCGCAUUAGCUAGUUGGUAAGGUAACGGCUUACCAAGGCAACGAUGCGUAGCCGACCUGAGAGGGUGAUCGGCCACACUGGAACUGAGACACGGUCCAGACUCCUACGGGAGGCAGCAGUAGGGAAUCUUCCGCAAUGGGCGAAAGCCUGACGGAGCAACGCCGCGUGAGUGAUGAAGGUCUUCGGAUCGUAAAACUCUGUUAUUAGGGAAGAACAAAUGUGUAAGUAACUAUGCACGUCUUGACGGUACCUAAUCAGAAAGCCACGGCUAACUACGUGCCAGCAGCCGCGGUAAUACGUAGGUGGCAAGCGUUAUCCGGAAUUAUUGGGCGUAAAGCGCGCGUAGGCGGUUUUUUAAGUCUGAUGUGAAAGCCCACGGCUCAACCGUGGAGGGUCAUUGGAAACUGGAAAACUUGAGUGCAGAAGAGGAAAGUGGAAUUCCAUGUGUAGCGGUGAAAUGCGCAGAGAUAUGGAGGAACACCAGUGGCGAAGGCGACUUUCUGGUCUGUAACUGACGCUGAUGUGCGAAAGCGUGGGGAUCAAACAGGAUUAGAUACCCUGGUAGUCCACGCCGUAAACGAUGAGUGCUAAGUGUUAGGGGGUUUCCGCCCCUUAGUGCUGCAGCUAACGCAUUAAGCACUCCGCCUGGGGAGUACGACCGCAAGGUUGAAACUCAAAGGGAAA